UGGAAGUAAAAGUCGUAACAAGGUUUCCGUAGGUGAACCUGCGGAAGGAUCAUUAAAAAAUACAUUACACAUUGUUUUUGCGAACAAAAAAAUAAAUUUUUUUAUUCGAAUUUCUUAAUAUCAAAACUUUCAACAACGGAUCUCUUGGUUCUCGCAUCGAUGAAGAACGCAGCGAAUUGCGAUACGUAGUAUGACUUGCAGACGUGAAUCAUCGAAUCUUUGAACGCACAUUGCGCCUCGAGGCAUUCCUCGAGGCAUGCCUGUUUGAGCGUCGCAUCCCCUCUAACCCCCGGUUAGGCGUUGCUCCGAAAUAUCAACCGCGCUGUCAAACACGUUUACAGCACGACAUUUCGCCCUCAAAUCAGGUAGGACUACCCGCUGAACUUAAGCAUAUCAAUAAGCGGAGGA
Molecule: unclassified non-coding RNA, 408 nt
Filed under: Clavispora lusitaniae
Lineage: Eukaryota; Fungi; Ascomycota; Pichiomycetes; Serinales; Metschnikowiaceae
Description: sequence contains 18S rRNA gene, ITS1, 5.8S rRNA gene, ITS2, 28S rRNA gene
Rfam family: 5.8S ribosomal RNA (bases 125-274)
Source: RNAcentral